UACGUAGGGUGCAAGCGUUAAUCGGAAUUACUGGGCGUAAAGCGUACGCAGGCGGCUUUGCAAGACAGGUGUGAAAUCCCCGGGCCUAACCUGGGAACUGCAUUUGUGACUGCAUGGCUAGAGUCUGUCAGAGGGGGGUGGAAUUCCACGUGUGAGCAGUGAAAUGCGCAGAUAUGACGGAGGAACACCGAUGGCGAAGGCAAUCCCCUGGGCC
Molecule: ribosomal RNA, 214 nt
Filed under: uncultured bacterium
Lineage: Bacteria
Description: partial 16S ribosomal RNA
Rfam family: Bacterial small subunit ribosomal RNA
Source: RNAcentral